RNAcentral lists this ribosomal RNA (253 nucleotides) under uncultured bacterium. Its description in RNAcentral is "partial 16S ribosomal RNA". It matches the Rfam family "Bacterial small subunit ribosomal RNA", at positions 524 to 776 of the family's 1533-position model. The record is from RNAcentral.
UACGUAGGGGGCAAGCGUUAUCCGGAUUUACUGGGUGUAAAGGGAGCGUAGACGGCAUGGCAAGCCAGAUGUGAAAUACCGGGACUCAACCCCGGGACUGCAUUUGGAACUGUUAAGCUGGAGUGUCGGAGAGGCAGGCGGAAUUCCUAGUGUAGCGGUGAAAUGCGUAGAUAUUAGGAGGAACACCAGUGGCGAAGGCGGCCUGCUGGACGAUAACUGACGUUGAGGCUCGAAAGCGUGGGGAGCAAACAGG